GACGAACGCUGGCGGCGUGCUUAACACAUGCAAGUCGAGCGGCGCGGCUAACGGGUGAGUAAGGCGUGAGUAACUGCCCCCCUCUCUGGGAUAACAGUUGGAAACGGCUGCUCAUACCGGCAAGUGGGGGGUGUCUCGCGUCUUAUCAGCUUGUUGGUGGGGUAGGGGCAUACCAAGUCGACGACGGGUAGCCGGCCGGAGAGGGCGUCCGGCCACAUUGGGCUGAGAUACGGCCCAAACGCCUACGGGAGGCAACAGUGGGAAAUAUUGCACAAUGGGGGAAAGCGUGAUGCAGCAACGCGCGUGCGGGAUGACGGCCUUCGGGUUGUAAACCGCUUUGAGCCAUGACGCGGUAGUGGCAGAAGAAGCACCGGCUAACUACGUGCCAGCAGCCGCGGUAAUUC
RNAcentral lists this ribosomal RNA (404 nucleotides) under uncultured bacterium. RNAcentral describes it as "partial 16S ribosomal RNA". It matches the Rfam family "Bacterial small subunit ribosomal RNA", at positions 28 to 526 of the family's 1533-position model. The record is from RNAcentral.